UCCAUUUCCAAAAUUAUCUCAGACAUCCGUUAAUCAAGAAUCAACAAUUCUUAAAAUCGCUUAAUUUUAGGACAACUUAUCUUAACAUGAACCAAGAUAAGCAGCGUAUAAAAAUAAAUUUUCGUUAAACCUGUCGUUAGUAAUUGUUAUUGUACGUGUGAGUAAUUUUGUUUAAAUAAAAUGGCCCACCUUUCUGUCAUACCUGGAGGUCCGCGUCCUGGAUUAACCAUCAGAGUCAGAGGACAAGCUCAUCCUACCGGUGACAGAUUUAUUGUAGAUUUGCAGAAUGGUCCAGACCCCUCACCAAGAGAUAUUCCUUUUCACAUUUCAGUUAGG
Molecule: long non-coding RNA, 336 nt
Organism: Sitophilus oryzae (rice weevil)
Lineage: Eukaryota; Metazoa; Arthropoda; Insecta; Coleoptera; Curculionidae
Exons: 2
Source: RefSeq, a predicted model, not a curated record